This 706-nucleotide long non-coding RNA is filed under the name Homo sapiens (human). RNAcentral's name for it is "HSALNT0376954". Lineage: Eukaryota; Metazoa; Chordata; Mammalia; Primates; Hominidae. The record is from RNAcentral.
AGGAAGCGAGGCGAGCCUCAGGUGGACGCGGUGGUGUGGACCACGGCGAUCAGGGCCUUUCCCCCUGCUGUGGAGACGGAGGUGCGAGGGGACGCCGGCGGCUCCCCACCUUCUGGCCGAGUGGCCUUCUCCGCCUCCGGCUGGACUCCCUCGGGGCGCUCCCUCCAGAGCCGAGUCGGGCUGGCCGGGGGCGGCUGUUUGGCCUGAGUGUCGUCUUACUAAAGCGGAACGCCGGAGGGGAGGCCACUCCGAGAGAAGGCGGUCCCCGGCGGAGGUGGCUUCGUGAAUCCUGCAGCCCCCUGCCCGCCCGCCACUCGAGACGCCGCGCCUCGUGGGUUUCACGCUGGAUGGAGGGGGCGCCGCCGAGGAUGCCCAGCCUCCCCCUCUAAUUCUACCUCUCCAGUUCCUCAGGCUCAACCAAAUGCCUCUGCCAGGAGAAUCUUUCAGAGUGUCCUGGAACAUUGGAAAUAGGCUUAAAGCUUAAAUGAUGAAUCAGAAGAGUUAUGCUGUAUUCUAAUGCUGCCACUAGGGCCACACAGGGUGCCAACAUCCAAUCUCAAGAUCUUCGGGAAAUAUGCUCACCCUCCAAAAUACUUACAGAUGUGUCUCCUCUUUUUUGUAAAAUAAAUGCUCUUCUUAUAUUUGGUGUUUCCUUGGUAUGGCCACAAGAUUAUUUAGUAUGACAUAUUUAAUGGUGAAGAUAAAG